UCGCUCAUCUCACUGACGAAUAUGCCACGGUAGCCACCAUUAUUCAGCAAUCAAAUCCCUUGCCAUUGUUUGACUAAGCUUGCUCGAUGCUUGAUUUGGAUCGCAUGAGCCAUGACAACAAUUAAAAAGGUACUUCUUCCUCCUCCACUAUUCUUGUUGCAUCUAAUGAUUCUUCCCAUUUGUCCAAUACUCAACAGUCACCCUCGGGCAGUGGUAGCCGUGGCAGCCGUGAUAAUGGUGGUCGUGACACUAGUGGCCGCAAUAAUAAAGGAAAAAAAGGGGCCAAGCCGAGGUGGUGGUGGUCGUCGUGGCUAUGAUCAUGGGGUUGGACACUCACCAUACUAUGGAUGGGCUCCACAAUGGGCCUCUCCACCGUGUCCUUAUCCUACUCAACCUCCACAGUGGCGCGGAAUGCCUUCGGUCAACAACCACGGUCUGCUAGGAUCUGCACCACGUGUCAAUAAACAGCAGCCCCAAGCACUCCUCAUAAAUGGUUACCAACCGACUGAUUUACCAGCAUUUUUUUAAUGCUUUGUUGCUUCAACAACCAGAUGAGAAUUGGUAUAUGGAUACCGGCGCCACCUCUCAUGUCAUGAACAAUCCAGGAUCUUCGAACGGGGUCUCUCUUGAUGAGGUCCAGUAGUGUGGGUGAUCUUUAUCCUCUGUCUCCAUCGUCCCCAUCUUCCACCUUACCAUCUGUCAAUGCUGUCCUACCUCUUUCCACGUGGCACAAUCGUCUGGGUCAUCCUGACGAACCCGUUUUGCGUUUUCUUAAGAAAAAUAAUUUUAUCAUGUGUAAUAAGGAAACUACCUCCACCCUUUGUCAUGCUUGUCAACUGAGAAAACAUUGCAAAUUGCAUUUUUUCUAUUUCUCUUUCUCUGACUAUGAAACCUUUUGAUAUUAUCCAUAAUGAUUUGUUUACUUCUCCAAUUUUAAGUCCUUCUGGAUUCUGUUAUUA
Humulus lupulus (European hop) is the source of this 959-nucleotide long non-coding RNA. RefSeq lists it as uncharacterized. The record is from RefSeq and is a predicted model, not a curated record. Lineage: Eukaryota; Viridiplantae; Streptophyta; Magnoliopsida; Rosales; Cannabaceae. The transcript has 2 exons.